AAGAUAAAUCUGUCUUUUCUAGGUAAAUUCAUGCUGGCCAUGAUGAUGGCUCAGGGCUGCUGAUUCUCCUGGAGGAGAUUCUACUGAAUUGUGAUUUUCAACAUCUUGUUCUUGGCAUCUAAAAAAGAAGUCAGGUGAACAGGACAAAGUAGAAGUUGAGGUGCCUCAAGAGAUGUCAUGGUAGCUCAAACCCACAUAAAAUCACAUCUGGAGCCUCCAAGGUCUAUAAUUACAGAACCAAGCCAUGAGAACAUGGUUUACUGUAACCCUAAGAAUUAGACAAUACAAAGAAUGACUCAACUUCAGUCUACCUUCUUAGGAAGCUGCAGGACAAACCACAAAGCCUGAAAUACAGAAAGGUUCCCUGUUUACCUGAUGACCCUGGUUAAAUGAACACUCAGGUACCCUGCUGAAAGAGCUGAUGCAUUUCCAUGACAAUGGGGCUGACAUGUGCUUUAACUGGACCCAAAGAGGCUGCAGUGUAGGGAGAGCUCCAGGCACAUGGUUGUCCCCCAGCAACAAGGUUUGAACAGGAAAGGACCUGGGGUCGAAAGCCCUCCCAGGAUGACAAGUAGAGAAGUGUGUCUACUGAAGCCUAAACCCAGCAGAGAAGAAGGAGAACUGAGUAAAGCAAAUGAGAAACUGAGUCCUGCUGAUGAAGAAAGGUCCUGAAUUGAGGAGAAACAGAAUGCUUACACUUACCUGUCCCUAGAUUUUCAGUCACAUAAGCUAAUUACUCAUCUUUCAGUUAAAGGUAUUUGAGAUUAAAUUUGCUUUCACUUUUAACUUCUAGUUGGAAAAUAAACCUAACUAAAAUUUUCA
This 822-nucleotide long non-coding RNA is filed under the name Sus scrofa (pig). Its description in RNAcentral is "lncRNA (ENSSSCG00070014072.1)". Lineage: Eukaryota; Metazoa; Chordata; Mammalia; Artiodactyla; Suidae. The record is from RNAcentral.